Molecule: ribosomal RNA, 501 nt
Filed under: uncultured bacterium
Lineage: Bacteria
Description: partial 16S ribosomal RNA
Rfam family: Bacterial small subunit ribosomal RNA
Source: RNAcentral
AUUGAACGCUGGCGGCAGGCUUAGCACAUGCAAGUCGAGCGGGGGAAGGUAGCUUGCUACCGGACCUAGCGGCGGACGGGUGAGUAAUGCUUAGGAAUCUGCCUAUUAGUGGGGGACAACAUCUCGAAAGGGAUGCUAAUACCGCAUACGUCCUACGAGAGAAAGCAGGGGAUCUUCGGACCUUGCGCUAAUAGAUGAGCCUAAGUCGGAUUAGCUAGUUGGUGGGGUAAAGGCCUACCAAGGCGACGAUCUGUAGCGGGUCUGAGAGGAUGAUCCGCCACACUGGGACUGAGACACGGCCCAGACUCCUACGGGAGGCAGCAGUGGGGAAUAUUGGACAAUGGGGGGAACCCUGAUCCAGCCAUGCCGCGUGUGUGAAGAAGGCCUUAUGGUUGUAAAGCACUUUAAGCGAGGAGGAGGCUACUCUAGUUAAUACCUAGGGAUAGUGGACGUUACUCGCAGAAUAAGCACCGGCUAACUCUGUGCCAGCCGCCGCAGUAA